GGAUUCCCCUAGUAACUGCGAGUGAAGCGGGAAAAGCUCAAAUUUAAAAUCUGGCGGUCUUUGGCCGUCCGAGUUGUAAUUUAGAGAAGCGUCUUCCGCGCCGGACCGUGCACAAGUCUCCUGGAAUGGAGCGUCAUAGAGGGUGAGAAUCCCGUCUUUGGCACGGAUGCCCGGUGCUUCUGUGAUGCGCUCUCGAAGAGUCGAGUUGUUUGGGAAUGCAGCUCAAAAUGGGUGGUGAACUCCAUCUAAAGCUAAAUAUUGGCGAGAGACCGAUAGCGAACAAGUACCGUGAGGGAAAGAUGAAAAGCACUUUGGAAAGAGAGUGAAACAGUACGUGAAAUUGUUGAAAGGGAAACGCUUGAAGUCAGUCGCGUCGACCGAGACUCAGCCUUGCCUCGGCUUGGUGUACUUCUCGGCCCGACGGGUCAGCGUCAAUUUUGCCCCUCGGAUAAUGGCAAGGGAAAGGUGGCACCUUUACGGGUGUGUUAUAGUCUCCUGUCGCAUGCGAGGGGUGGGAUUGAGGAACUCAGCGCGCACCUUGGUGUCGGGGGCUUCGGCCCACGUCACGCGCUUAGGAUGCUGGCGUAAUGGCUUUAAACGACCCGUCUUGAAACACGGACCAAGGAGUCCAACACGCCCGCGAGUGUUCGGGUGGAAAACCCGUGCGCGUAAUGAAAGUGAAAGUUGGGACCUCUGUCGUGGAGGGCACCGACGCCCGGACCAGACCUUCUGUGACGGAUCUGCGGUAGAGCGUGUGUGUUGGGACCCGAAAG
Molecule: ribosomal RNA, 773 nt
Filed under: Russula acrifolia
Lineage: Eukaryota; Fungi; Basidiomycota; Agaricomycetes; Russulales; Russulaceae
Description: partial large subunit ribosomal RNA
Rfam family: Eukaryotic large subunit ribosomal RNA
Source: RNAcentral